RNAcentral lists this ribosomal RNA (885 nucleotides) under Oscheius sp. CS42. RNAcentral's name for it is "partial large subunit ribosomal RNA". It matches the Rfam family "Eukaryotic large subunit ribosomal RNA", at positions 63 to 926 of the family's 3401-position model. Lineage: Eukaryota; Metazoa; Nematoda; Chromadorea; Rhabditida; Rhabditidae. The record is from RNAcentral. RNAcentral also lists the same sequence under 1 other name.
AACUAACUAGGAUUCCCCCAGUAACGGCGAGUGAACGGGGAAGAGCCCAGCGCUGAAUCGCUCGGUCUUAGGCCGCUGCGAACUGUAGCGUAUAGGUGCGAUCUUCUAGUAGUGCUGCUAGUCCGAAGUCCCUUUGAUAGGGGCCACAGUCCUGAGAGGGUGCGAGACCUGUACGGAAGGCGGCGCUUCUAGUAUCUUCGUUCCUUGGAGUCGGGUUGCUUGAAAGUGCAGCCUAAAGCUGGUGAUAAACUUCAUCAAAGGCUACAUAUAGAUGCGAAUUCGAUAGCAAACAAGUACCGUGAGGGAAAGUUGCAAAGAACUUUGAAGAGAGAGUUCAAGAGAACGUGAAAUCCUAUAGGUUGAAGCGGAGAGAGUUGACGUAGCUCGGCGGCUAAGCUUACUGUUCGCCUUUCGGGGUGUGCGGUUUGCGGUGUCCGCUUAUAGCUGCGCUGGCAGCGUUGUCCGAGCUUUCUGACCCGGCUUGUGUUGCCCACCUUCGGGUGGUGUCUUGCAGUCGGCGAGGUCUGCCGUGUUAACGUUUAGCUUCGUUUAUUCGGAGUGCCAGUGUAAAGGUCAGCCACCUUUCCGACCCGUCUUGAAACACGGACCGAGGAGUGUAACUUGUACGCGAGUCAGAGGGUGGAAAACCCUACGGCGUAAUGAAAGUAAAGGUCGGUUUACCGGCUGACAUGGGAUCCGUUCUUCGGAGCGGCGCACCAUGGCCCUGUCUUGAGAGCUUGCUCUUGGGCAGAGGAAGAGCGUACAGGUUGCGACCCGAAAGAUGGUGAACUAUACUUGAGCAGGACGAAGCCAGAGGAAACUCUGGUGGAAGUCCGUAUCGGUUCUGACGUGCAAAUCGAUCGAUAGACUUGAGUAUAGGGGCGA